This 607-nucleotide ribosomal RNA is filed under the name uncultured bacterium. RNAcentral describes it as "bacterial SSU rRNA". It matches the Rfam family "Bacterial small subunit ribosomal RNA", at positions 338 to 947 of the family's 1533-position model. The record is from RNAcentral.
CCUACGGGAGGCAGCAGUGAGGAAUAUUGGACAAUGGGCGCAAGCCUGAUCCAGCCAUGCCGCGUGCAGGAAGACGGUCCUAUGGAUUGUAAACUGCUUUUGUACAGGAAGAAACACUCCCUCGUGAGGGAGCUUGACGGUACUGUAAGAAUAAGGAUCGGCUAACUCCGUGCCAGCAGCCGCGGUAAUACGGAGGAUCCAAGCGUUAUCCGGAAUCAUUGGGUUUAAAGGGUCCGUAGGCGGUUUAAUAAGUCAGUGGUGAAAUCUGGUCGCUCAACGAUCAAACGGCCAUUGAUACUGUUAGACUUGAAUUAUUAGGAAGUAACUAGAAUAUGUAGUGUAGCGGUGAAAUGCUUAGAUAUUACAUGGAAUACCAAUUGCGAAGGCAGGUUACUACUAAUGGAUUGACGCUGAUGGACGAAAGCGUGGGGAGCGAACAGGAUUAGAUACCCUGGUAGUCCACGCCGUAAACGAUGGAUACUAGCUGUUCGGAGCAAUCUGAGUGGCUAAGCGAAAGUGAUAAGUAUCCCACCUGGGGAGUACGUUCGCAGAAUGAAACUNAAAGGAAUUGACCGGNNGAGAGNGCGAGACGACGACGAGGAGGAGG